RNAcentral lists this ribosomal RNA (218 nucleotides) under uncultured bacterium. RNAcentral's name for it is "partial 16S ribosomal RNA". It matches the Rfam family "Bacterial small subunit ribosomal RNA", at positions 923 to 1146 of the family's 1533-position model. The record is from RNAcentral.
GCACAAGCAGUGGAGUAUGUGGUUUAAUUCGAAGCAACGCGAAGAACCUUACCAGGUCUUGACAUCGUAUGCAUAGUCUAGAGAUAGAUGAAAUCCCUUCGGGGACAUAUAGACAGGUGGUGCAUGGUUGUCGUCAGCUCGUGUCGUGAGAUGUUGGGUUAAGUCCCGCAACGAGCGCAACCCUUACCUUUAGUUGCUACGCAAGAGCACUCUAGAGA